ACUGGGCUGGCUCAGUUGGUGGAGCAUGCGACUUUUGAUUUUAGGGUUGUGGGUUUGAGCCCCAUGUUGGGUG
RNAcentral lists this transfer RNA (73 nucleotides) under Ailuropoda melanoleuca (giant panda). It matches the Rfam family "tRNA". Rfam says of the family: Transfer RNA (tRNA) molecules are approximately 80 nucleotides in length. Their secondary structure includes four short double-helical elements and three loops (D, anti-codon, and T loops). The record is from Rfam by way of RNAcentral. Lineage: Eukaryota; Metazoa; Chordata; Mammalia; Carnivora; Ursidae.